UGGCUCAGUGGUUAAGAGCACUGGCUGCUCUUCCAGAGGACCUGGGUUCAAAUCCCAG
Molecule: transfer RNA, 58 nt
Filed under: Mesocricetus auratus (golden hamster)
Lineage: Eukaryota; Metazoa; Chordata; Mammalia; Rodentia; Cricetidae
Also listed under: 3 other names
Rfam family: tRNA
About the family: Transfer RNA (tRNA) molecules are approximately 80 nucleotides in length. Their secondary structure includes four short double-helical elements and three loops (D, anti-codon, and T loops).
Source: Rfam by way of RNAcentral